This 2291-nucleotide long non-coding RNA is filed under the name Homo sapiens (human). RNAcentral's name for it is "HSALNT0161335". The record is from RNAcentral. Lineage: Eukaryota; Metazoa; Chordata; Mammalia; Primates; Hominidae.
UGCAAUUUUUAUAAUUUCUUUUUUGAACCAUGAAUUAUUUAGAAGUAUUUUUAAAUCCUAAUUUUUUUGGUCACAUUUUGGUCAGAGAACAUGUUCUAUAUGAUGUAGAUGUUUUUUGAGACUUUUUUGGUGGCUUAGUCCAUUAUGAAUUUUGUAAAUGUUCUAUGUGUGAUUGAAAAAAAUGUGACUUUUCUAACUACUGUUUGUUCUAUAUGUGGCCAUUGAAUCAAUUAUUGAGAAACAUAAGUUAAAAUUCCUUACUAAAAUUGUGGACUUCUAGGUUCUUUCCAGUAAAUCUACCCUUUGUUGUUGUUGUUUUGAGGCUAUGUUGCUAGGUGCAUAAAGGUUCAAAAUUGUUCUAUCUUCCUGGUGAAUUGUCCUUUUCAUUAUAAAGCAAUAACCCUUUUUAUCCCUAAUAAUUCCUCCCUUUUACCACUUAAAAUGAUUUUUUUUGGUAGUUAUAUGUUUAUAUUAAGUUUUGCUGUUGUGAUUGUUAAUAUUUUUCAGAUAUUUCCCCCACUUUUUUACUUUUAAUUUUUGUUGUUCUUGUUUUGUUUUGUUUUUAGAGAUGGGGUCUUGCUUUGGUACACAGGCUAGAGUGCAGUGAUCAUGACCAUAGCUCACUACAGCCUCAAACUCUUGGGCUCUAGCAAUCAUCUCUCCUCAGCCUCCCAAAGAGCUGGGACUACAGGCAUGCACCGAAGCUUUAUUUUCAAAAUAUAAUUUCAGAAGCCAUGGUGACUUUGUCUAGAAGUAAGUGUGGAGGAGGCGAGAUUUUGUGUCUACAUGAGCUUCCUGCACAGGUGAACACAUCCUCGUUGUUGGAAUCUCUCCAUGGCAGAUGCAGGAAUUUUUACUUAGACUUCCUUCCACACAGCACAUCAAUAAAUAUGGAAAUGAAGACUUCAAAUCUCACUUCUGAUGAAACAAUAUGCUGUCUAAAUUCAGUUAAUUGUAAGGUACUUAGUGUUGAAAGACAAAGAUAUGCUAAUCUUAUUAAAAUAUGCCUGGUGAAAUUCAGCUGUAAAUUCCAUUCAGGGACUCCUGCGUUCUACAUUGAUCCACGUCACAAUGUCUGGAAAGAAAACCACCCACCGUGCAGGAUGCAGAGUUAGUAAAUUAGAAAGGUGAAAAGUUUAAUGAAGAGUCUAUCUUCUGGAGAAGAAGUACAACAAGGCGGAAUGCUUAAUAUUUUUUUUUGUUUGUUUAGAUUAAACCAACUGAGAGCUCUUUACAUUGUUUACAUUUAUGUUACUCAGUAAGAAAAGCUUUUAACAUUUUCUCUGUUUCAUGUGAAUUGAAGUUGUUUUUAACUAUAUACGAGGGAGGGAAAGAGUCUUCACUAAAGAUGCAGCUCAAGCCUGUUUAGACAGACUCAACCAAUUUUUAAUUUUCUAGGGAGUUAAGGAGUGUGGCAUUUUGAAUUUGUGGUUAAGGGCCUGACUAGAGAUUUUGAUACCAAAGGUUUCGAUCCUGACAUCUUUUGUUCAUGUUGCUAUGUAACUUUGUGCAUUUUUUUUUCCAGGCAGGGUCUCACUCUUUCACCCAGGCUGGAGUGCAGUGGCAUGAUCAUGGCUCACUGCAGCCUCAAACUCUCAGGCUUUGAGCUUCUGAAGACCUUUGUUUCUUUAUAUGUAAUCUGGGGUAAACCCAUGUUGUAUUUUUAAAAGAACAUUUAUUUUUAUUUAUUCUUAUAGACUAAAAUAUCUAUUCUUUAUAGAAUAUUUAUAAGCAUUCAUAUAUAACAUUAUACAAUUUCAAUAAAUAUAUAUAUAUUUAUUUACACACACACACACCCCCCCCACAAUCGUUCAUAAUCCAGCCACUCAGAGAUAACCUCUAUUCCAUUUAUGUUGGACUCCCAGCCACUUAGCCAUCCAUCCGUGCACAUCUGUACAUGUGCAUGAAUCUAACCACCCAUUAAUGAAGACUAGAUUACACAGCACCUAUUUUUUUUUAUAACCUGGUAUAUCCAAUUAAUAUAUGGUGAGUAUCUUCCCACAUUAUUAUAUAUUCUUCCAUAUAAUGGCAAUAAUUUUAUUUUUGAAAAAUCCCCCAUAAUUUAUUGAACCAGGACCAUAUUGUUAGGCAUUUGGUUUGUUCUCUUUUUGUUAGUCAUUGUAAACAAUGCUGCAGCGAAAUCUCUAUGUGUUAUAUCCUUAGGCACAUCUGUGAUUAUUUGCUUAGUCUGAUUUAAACUGGUUGUGAUAACGUGUUUUAAAGAAGUGUGUAUAUAUCUCAUUAUGGAUUAGUGUUUAUGGCACUGUAAUAAAGAUACUUCCAAUACAACU